GCCAGUGUGGUGUAGUGGUUUAAGCACUGGACUACGACUCUGAAGACCAGAGUUCAAAUCUCCACUCAGCCA
This is a non-coding RNA of Phrynosoma platyrhinos (Desert horned lizard), 72 nucleotides long. NCBI's taxonomy places the organism in Eukaryota, Metazoa, Chordata, Lepidosauria, Squamata, Phrynosomatidae. The record is from the annotation of a GenBank genome assembly.